CAGGACUGGCACUUGGUAUUGGAUAACCAAUUGGUGUGUCUUCCCUGGGGAAGAUUAUGUAUCUCUCCUGCUCUCAGCAAUCCUUGGCUGCCUGUAGUUCUUUGACGAGGGUUUACCUUGUGGUCUUUCCUGGUCCACUUUUUUCCAGUGUUGUCUCACGUUUGGGCAGUCAUGUUGCUUGGAUUCUGUCACGGGCAAAUGCUUAUGCACCAAGUGCUUUAUGGAUUGGAACAAUCUCUGGCCCCUAGAUGUCACUGCCCAUACCUGCCUGCUUCCCUCUUUUCUGAGACAAAGUCUCACCAUGUUGUAUCCUGAGUUUCAAGGGCUUAAUAAGCAACCUUUUCCUGUUGCAACCUCUGAGGAGCUGGGACCACAGACACUCAUCACCAUGCCCAGCAAAGUGAGUGUUUUCGUCAUCAGUUCUACUUUGAAACUCUUCCUGGCUCCACAAAUCUGCCCCCCACAUGGCAGGAACAAGACUUCUCAGUGUGAGGACUCUGCAGCCUCUUCCUUUGGACAUGGGGUGAGAGCUGCUGGGGUCUGACUGACACUGGUCAAAGGAAUAGAUGCCCACAUUCUAGGCCAUACCACCUCCUGAGUGUCUGCCCCUCCGUUUGUCUCCUGCGUGGGAGUGUGCUUGUGGUGGCAGGGCACUGGUCAUGGUGGGAACCUGUCUGUCUGGGUUUCAGAGCAAUGUUCCUUAUGUGAAUGGGACACAGUCACAGACCCUAUCUCAGAAGAGAACUCAGAGGCCGGUGACUGGCACCAGUCAUGUGGCAGAUCUUCUGUAUGACAAACUCCUGGCUUGUCUGGACCCUUCUAGGAUCUUGAGGAGACAACUGCAUCCCCAUGGCCGUGGUGUCUCAUAAAAAUUGUCACUUAUCAUUUGUGUCUGUGAGAGCUUCCCUCAGACUGUACAAGCUUCAGACCUGCACACUGGGACUCUUUUUGGAAAGAGCACUGAAUUUGUUAGACAGUGUGACCCCAGACUCAGCAGCAGCAGCUAUAUUACAUGUUGGGUUGUUGGAAGCCUUGACAUGCUUUGUUGUGUAAACUCCAGAGCUGUCGCUCUGCCUCUUAGAGCUCCAUUCUCUGUAACCAUGACAAUUGGAUAUCCAUCCCUCACUGCUUCCCACCUGGGUUCUGUGCAUGGCUGGAGGGUGGGCCCUGCCUCACUCAUCUUCCUGCCCUGACCCACAAUUCACCAGGUGUCAAGGAGGUGAGCACGUGCCUCAAGGCUGUGAUGAUGAUUGUGACUGUCACAUGUACUUUGGAGGCCAGCAGUCCAAUGGCUCUACUCUUUGGAACCAGGAAACACAGGCUCAGGCAACAUCCAGACGAUGAGAAGGAAUUCUGUGAAACACCAUCUUCUGGACCGGACAUGGCUGCUGCCCUGCUUGCCCCGCUCCCGCCUGUGGAUCACAGCAGGGGAGGUUACCUGCAGAAAACCUGUCAACAGCCAAGUGUUUGUGGCUCCAAAAGGAAGAGUCCACCAGGAGAUGAAGCUGUGCCAUGUUGUGUGCUUUAUUACUGAGGAAAGAACAGAAGCAUCACACACGAGGUGAGCCAACCCCUGCAACAGCGCUCACAGCGGUGUCUGAGGACUGGAAAGAAUACUGAAGGGAGCAGCAGCUGGGCAGACCAUACCUCAGGCUGGCAAGACAGCUUAGAGGUAAAGGCACUUACUGCCCACCUGAAGAAAAGUUUGGUUCCCAGAGCCCACAAGUUUGGGAGAAAACCUAUUCCCACCGGCUGCCCUCUGACUUCCAUAUGCACACCACAGUACAUGUGCAACCCCCGACACACUCAAUGAGUAAACGUCUUAAAUUCUUUUAAAGAGAUGGUCUGACACAUCACUGCUUCUGGUGGCAUAGAAGCUACUGUGUGUGUUUGAGGGCAGGGGGAGGAUCGGACUCUGUGGCCGUCCUUGGAUACAUAAGUGAGACCUCAAAAGCAAGAGGCAGCAGAGGGGAAGAUGAAAAGGAAGAAAAGAGAGCAUCUUCUCCCAGCCAAAGUAAAGUUGAACUUGAAUGAGAGGACGUCUUGAGACUCCUUUGCUACACACAGUGGUUCUGGCUUGAAGAA
RNAcentral lists this long non-coding RNA (2085 nucleotides) under Cricetulus griseus (Chinese hamster). RNAcentral's name for it is "lncRNA (ENSCGRG00015030978.1)". Lineage: Eukaryota; Metazoa; Chordata; Mammalia; Rodentia; Cricetidae. The record is from RNAcentral.